AUCCACAAAGGACAAAAACGUCGGCGACGGGCGAGGAGGAAGAAACCAGUCGCGUGUGACAAACACACUAUUGUAUAGUUUUAUACACACACACACACACACACACCUUUGUGUGAAUUGAUUUGCUGUCUCGCGAUCAUAGGAUGAACAUUAGAGCCCCGGUCGCAUGUACGCUGGUUUGUUGCUGUUGUGUGAGAUUUUUUUUAAAUAUUUGACACACAAGACUGAGUUAUUAUUCAUUAAUGUCAGUGAAAUGCUUUGAUUCACAAACAGUUUCGUGUUGAAACGAAUAGUGAAUCACAGCAAACCCGUGUAAGUUACGACUAUCGGCCUCUGUUUGACGCUUUAUUGUUACAGUGCAACGUUACAUGUGCAUGAUCUGAUCUGUUAUUUAGUCUGAUCUGUUAUUUAAUCUGAUUUGUGUAACGUUAAACCUCGAAAAUAAUGCUGUAAGAUUCUCCUGGAUAAACUGGGAUUCUGAGGCAAAAAUAUAGAAAUAUAAGGUUUAGAACCAUAAAUUCCUUCACGAUGUGUUCAAUUGUGGUAGAAAUGACAUUCCUAUUACAUCAGGAUGUUUGUAAUAUCAUCCAUGUAGUUGCCAGUGGGCGUGUUAUUGUGACGUAAGAACGCCUUCGUGUUUCUGUGGCCUUUGUUUGGCGAUUAUUGGUCAUAUUUUAAGACAUUAAUUGACUUUUUAGAAUGCUUAUUUAUAAGUUAUAGUUUAAAGACCGCGUUUGACCUGUUUGAUUGGUGCAUGCUGUUCGUAUUGGUCUGUACACAUGCGUCUGACCGCAUCGCUUAGGCCCAUGCGUCGCGUCUUGCGCUUUUCAAGCGUUGCGUUAGGUUAAACUAAUUCAAAAGUACUCAUGACCUGAAGCCGAGGGGUCAGUACUCACAGUUCCAUUCAUUUUGUGGCUCACAUGAAAGUACUCUGGUAACACCAUGAAUUUGGGAUGCAUAUACCAUGAUAUUCCUUUAAAGACCCUGUACUACCACGUAUAACGUAAUAAAUGAAUACAGUAAUUCUUUCCAUACCGUUGUAUGUCUGGUGUAGUACUAUGGUAUUUGACAUCACACCAUCUUGGUAGUGUGUGUUGGGAAUGGCUUGCUAAUGAGUAAGACGGUGUUGUGACAUUGCAAGAGCAAACAAAUAAAAGUAGUGUAAGCUUUAUAAUAUCUAUAUUUAGAAUACAUUG
This is a long non-coding RNA of Triplophysa dalaica, 1196 nucleotides long. RefSeq lists it as uncharacterized. Lineage: Eukaryota; Metazoa; Chordata; Actinopteri; Cypriniformes; Nemacheilidae. The transcript is spliced from 2 exons. The record is from RefSeq and is a predicted model, not a curated record.